RNAcentral lists this unclassified non-coding RNA (297 nucleotides) under Hevea brasiliensis (rubber tree). The record is from RNAcentral. Lineage: Eukaryota; Viridiplantae; Streptophyta; Magnoliopsida; Malpighiales; Euphorbiaceae.
ACCAUCUGUUGCUAGCCCAAAAUCUGAAAGCUUCGCAUUAUAGUCCGAGUCUAAUAGGACAUUUGAAGCCUUAAAAUCUCUAUAUAUGACUGGUUUUUCUUCUCCAUGGAGGAAGGCAAGGCCUUUUGCUGCUCCAGCUGCAAUUUUGAGUCUUGUUAACCAGGGCAAGGCUGCUGAAUACCUUUUAAAUAGCAGGGUCUCCAAGUUGCCUCGCUCCAUAUAUUCAUAGACAAGCAGCCUGUGCUCAUCCUCGCAGCAGUAACCAAUCAAGUUCACAAGAUGGGGAUUCUUUAAUUG